CUACGUGCCAGCAGCCGCGGUAAUACGUAGGGUGCGAGCGUUAAUCGGAAUUACUGGGCGUAAAGCGAGCGCAGACGGUUACUUAAGCAGGAUGUGAAAUCCCCGGGCUCAACCUGGGAACUGCGUUCUGAACUGGGUGACUAGAGUGUGUCAGAGGGAGGUAGAAUUCCACGUGUAGCAGUGAAAUGCGUAGAGAUGUGGAGGAAUACCGAUGGCGAAGGCAGCCUCCUGGGAUAACACUGACGUUCAUGCUCGAAAGCGUGGGUAGCAAACAGGAUUAGAUACCCUGGUAGUCCACGCUGUAAACGCUGUCGAUUUGGGGAUUGGGCUUUAAGCUUGGCGCCCGUAGCUAACGUGAUAAAUCGACCGCCUGGGGAGUACGGCCGCAAGGUUAAAACUCAAAUGAAUUGACGGGGGCCCGCACAAGCGGUGGAGCAUGUGGUUUAAUUCGAUGCAACGCGAAGAACCUUACCUACUCUUGACAUCCAUGGAAUUCUGUAGAGAUACGGGAGUGC
This 515-nucleotide ribosomal RNA is filed under the name uncultured bacterium. RNAcentral describes it as "bacterial SSU rRNA". It matches the Rfam family "Bacterial small subunit ribosomal RNA", at positions 501 to 1017 of the family's 1533-position model. The record is from RNAcentral.